AAAAUACUCCCUCCGUCCGAAAAUACUUGUCAAUAAAAUGGACAAAAAGGGAUGUAUCUAGAACUAAAAUACAUCUAGAUACAUCCCCUUUUAUUCAUUUUGUUGACAGGUAUUUCCGGACGGAGGGAGUACUAC
Non-coding RNA from Triticum aestivum (bread wheat), 135 nucleotides. The record is from Rfam. Lineage: Eukaryota; Viridiplantae; Streptophyta; Magnoliopsida; Poales; Poaceae.